RNAcentral lists this long non-coding RNA (221 nucleotides) under Elaeis guineensis (African oil palm). Its description in RNAcentral is "long non-coding RNA (EGUI_LNC046535)". The record is from RNAcentral. Lineage: Eukaryota; Viridiplantae; Streptophyta; Magnoliopsida; Arecales; Arecaceae.
UGCUUGAAAAUCGAUCAUAGAUCUAUUGGCUUAAGGAAUGAAUACUAGAUUUAUAAUUAAAAAUAAAAAAUAAAAUCUUCAAGAUAUAUUUUCUUGUAUUAUUAUUUUGAAUUUUUUUGCACUUUCAGUUUACCCUCUUCUCAACUAUUUUCAACUCUAACUUAAUUAGUUAUAAAUAAAAUUUCUUAAAAUCUUAACUAACUCAAAUACAACUUAGCCCU